RNAcentral lists this ribosomal RNA (519 nucleotides) under uncultured archaeon. Its description in RNAcentral is "bacterial SSU rRNA". It matches the Rfam family "Archaeal small subunit ribosomal RNA", at positions 339 to 859 of the family's 1478-position model. The record is from RNAcentral.
GCGCGAAAACUUGGCAAUGCGAGAAAUCGUGACCAGGGAACUCCAAGUGCGUAGGGUAAGACCUACGCUUUUCUUGACUCUUCAAAGGUCUUGGAAUAAGGGGUGGGUAAGGACGGUGCCAGCCGCCGCGGUAAUACCGGCGCCUCAAGUGGUAGUCGCUUUUAUUGGGCCUAAAACGUCCGUAGCCGGUCUGGUCCAUUCGUGGGUAAAUCAACCCGCUCAACGGGUUGAAUUCUGCGAGCACGGCCAGACUUGGGACCGGGAGAGGUGUGGGGUACUCUCAGGGUAGGGGUAAAAUCCUGUCAUCCUGAGAGGACCACCUGUUGCGAAGGCGCCACACUAGAACGGAUCCGACGGUCAGGGACGAAACCUAGGGGCACGAACCGGAUUAGAUACCCGGGUAGUCCUAGGUGUAAACGCUGUGGACUUGAUGUUGGGGGCGCUCCGAGCGCUCUCAGUGUCGAAGCGAAGGUGAUAAGUCCACUGCCUGGGGAGUACGGUCGCAAGGCUGAAACUUAA